AAGGGGACGGGGCCCCGACUCCGCCGCUACUUCCGAGGCCCUCUGGGAAUCGUAGUUUUCUGGGAUCAUUUUGCACCGGCACUCUGCGGUCUUUGCGCCUUAUGGGGUCGCUGCAAGCAGGUUGGAGCCCCAGCCUGCUACCCUCCCUCCUGCAUACUGACUUCAUCUUGUAACAGGCUUUGUGAUAAAAACCUGGGAGAAUAUUGGUUCUGGAAUUCCUUGUGGACAAGUCUGGGGAGACCAUUGGUCCUGGCUCCACUCCUGGAAGGGUCUUUCAGAUUUUCAGAAGAAAACUCCUGGCAGACAAAUGAAUCUUUCCUCUCUGCAGUCUCGGGACUGGGCCUUUUCCAAGAGGACACAGAAGAGGAGAGAAUGGCAGCUGUGCCCCUAGCAGCCAGAUGGCAGUUGAAGAGAGGCAAAGAGCCAUGGAAACUUGAUCAUCAGGAAGCUGAGGAGAGAGAAGUCCCAGGAAGCACUUCUCUAGGAAUGCGUGAGCUGGGCAGAUGGGGCUUUGCUGGACAGUUCACUUAGAGACCACUCCUUAGGAUCGCAUAGACCUAUGAGAUGGCCACUGCCACACUGGCCUUUGCCUGGAAAACUCGUACCAUGUAUAGCCACAUGGCCUUCUUGUCACCUUUUUCAAGUUUUUGCUCAAAUGUGCCACCUUCUCAGUCAGGCCUGGCCUGAUGACCCUAUGUAAAAUUGAACCCUCUCCAUCCCUUUGUCCCUCCCAGCCCCUGCACCACCCGCUCUCUUCCCGACUCUGUCUUCCUAACAUACUAUAGUUUUACUUCUUCAUUUUGUUGGUUGUCUGUCCACACCUACCCUCUGUUAAAGUAUAAACUCCAUCAGAGACUUUUUCUGUUGUUUGCUACUGUAUCCCCAGUACUUCAAACAGUACCUGGUACAGAGCACACACUCAGGUAUUUGUCAGAUGAAUGAAUAAGUGGAGUGUGCAUAGCAAGGCCCGCCCCCGUUGGGUUUUUUGCAGGGAGGGUUGAGAUCUAUCAUUAUUUCAACUCUGAUAUCACUUACUUAUCUUUUCUGCAUAUCCUUUACCGUAUCUCCUCCUCUUCCUUUAAAUUACCAUUCAGUGGCCAUUGACAGUUCACUUUCUCAGGUGCUAGCCUGUCUCCCCACUUUUUCUCUGCUGUUUAUACUCAUCGAGUAACAAACUGCCCAGUCAUUUCCCCGCUUCAUUGUGUAUCUCCUAUUUUUAUGCACGUAUCUCUCUCUGAAAUGCUCUUCUUUUGGCUGUGUACUUGGUUAACAACUUUCAGAUCUCAGCUUAAAUGUCACUUCUAGAUGACCGUUCUUAAGGGUCCCUCUAAAGAAGUCCCCACUCCAACUCUCAUUCAUCAUUUCCUUUGCUGUACUUAUCACCAUCUGUUAUAUUUUGUUUAUUUAUUCUUUGUCUUCUGUCUAGUAGAAUAUAAGCAUAACAAGGGUGGGGACCAUGUCUGUCUUGUUCAUUAGGGUCCCAAUGACUUUUACCAUGCCUCCUUACCACUAGGCAGGCCCCUAGUAAAUAUCUCAUGAAUGAAUAACUGAAACUUGUUCAGUGGGCUAGAUGCCCACCUUCCACUUCUGGUCUCUAUUCCUCUUUUUUCCUCUGCCAUUUUUCAGCCUCUCCGUAAUGUUUUUUCUCUGAGGAGCUACCAAUAAACCCAGCAGUAUUUUGCAUUUGUUCUUUUCUUAAUAUAUAUACAAUGUUUUCCUUUUCACUAGCACUCAAACCCAGUUAUAUCUGUGUUUUCUGUUUGUUUUAUACCAGAAGGCUAGACUUAAGAGCCAGGACUCAACUGAAAAGCAGGAUGUUUCUAAAAAAGUAAAGUCAUUACUGAAAAUACAAGACAUGAAUGAAAAACCUCAGAAAAGAUGGUCCUCUGGGUCCUGUACUUGGCCCAGAAAACCCUGAGGGCACAAAGAAAGAAAAUGCUUCAGGGGAGACUUUGAAGAAAUCGUCCCCCAAGGAGAAGGACUCAGGCAAGGAUACACUCUUGCCAAACAAACUGACAAUAAGGAGAUACAGUUGGAAGGCAGUGUAUGUGGGAAGACCUUAUAUAACCAUUUACCCCUCACUUGCCAUCAGAGGACCCACACUGAAGAGAAGCCCUACGACUAUAAAGAAUGCGGGAAAGCCUUCAGCUAUAGGAGUAGUCUUAAGAAACAUUUGAUGUCUCACACUGGCAAGAGCACCUCUGAAGGCAGCGAAUGUCAGGAAACUUUCCAUGACCAAUUAACCCUUAUUGAACAUCAGCGAAGUCAUACCAGAGGGAAGCCUUUUGAAUGUAAUGAAUGUGACAAGGCUUUCUUUGUCCACUUGUGCUUUACUCCACAUCAGAGAAUUCAUACUGGAGAAAGACCUUGUGAGUGUACAGAAUGUGGGAAAUCCUUUAGCCAGAAAAGCAAUCUCAGUCACCACAUGCUCACUCACCCUGGAGAGUGGCCCUGUGGGUGCAAGGCAUGUGACAAAGCUCUGCUUGACCACUCCUCCCUCGUUCACCACAGGAAAGCGCACACUAGAAAGACCCCUUUUGAAUGUAAUGAGUGUGGGAAAGUUUUCUUUGACCCCUCAUCCCUUAAUAAACAUCAGAAAAUUCAUAGUGGAGACAAGCCCUAUAAAGGCACUGAAUGUGGGAAAGCCUUCCUCCAGAAAAGACAACUUAUUCAACAUGAAAGAGUGCACACUGGAGAGAAAUCCUGCAAGUGCAGCAUGUGUGGGAAAGUGCUCAGUUGAAAGUCAUCUAUCAUCUGACAUCAGCGACAUUAUGCAGACAGGCUUCAGAGUAUCACGAAGGUGCUUCAGCUGGACAAGGGACCCCCGUAGUGACUUUGAAACCAGAGGCCAACUUGCUUUAACUAUACUCAGUUAGUUGUCUGUUUGCAAAAGUAGUUAGAUAAUGCAUUGCUAAAACCUGCCCUAUAAAUAACGUCUCUGAUGCCUGGGUCACCGUAAUAACAGGUGCUUGAGUUUUUCAGGAUCUGAAAGUCGACUCCUUGUCCAGUUCAGGCUGGUUAAGACAACCAACUCAUCAACUGGACCUGCACAGAUGACCAAUAGGUGACACUGUGACAUCAAGGAGCUGAAAACUCCACCCUCAGAUCAUGGUAAUGCUGCCAUUUUGUGAAUAUGUGUCCUAUGAAGAGCCAUGAAGCUUGACUAGACUUGCACGGAUCAUCAAUUACCUCACUUCUCCUUCCCUCCAAUCAUCUUUUCCCACUUCAGACCAUCCUGCCUGCCCCCUUAUCCCAUAAAUAUCCCUCGUCCCCAUUUUGGGGGGGAGGUAGAUUUGCCCACCUCCUUGCUUGGCUGCCUUGUGAUUAAAUCCUUUCUCUUUGCAGACUCGUCAUCUCAAUGAUUGGCAUAAUUGUGUGCCAGGAAAAACAAACCUGGUUCAGUAACUUCAAGAUAAUGAAGAUUUAUCUUUGAGCGCCUUCUAACUACUGUUAAUUCUCAUGCCUCCAUUUGGUACCAGAGUCUCAAUAAAUAGUCUCAGUAGAUCACACCAUGGACUUCCCCUGGGGUACUUGAAAUUUAAGAUAAUAGUCUGAGGAGCCCCAAAUUGGUCAGAUCAGAAGCUUUCCAAUCAACAUGCUUUGAUAUCUGAGUCUAUUCUGAGCAGCAGAGUGCCCAACUCUAUUUCUCAGCCUCUCUUGCAGUGAGGUAUGGCUAAUCAGGCCAAUGAAAUACUGAUAUAUCAAAUAUCAGGCCAACAGUAUAUUGAUAUAUCAAAUAUCAGGCCACUGAUAUAUUGAUAUAAUUGGAAUUUGUGGGGAAGGACUUCUGGGAAGGCAACUUAAUAAAAGAGAGAGGGACGCUAGGAAAUUCCCUUUUCCCUUCCCUUCUUUCCACCUGGAAUGUGGAUUUAAUGGCUGGAAUUCCAUAAAGCAUCUUGUGACUUUGAGGGUAUAAGCAAGGCCUAAAGGAUGGGAGAGGAGAAGAACAGAAGACACUUGGUUCCCUGAUGAUCUUCUGGAGCCUCCACACCAGCACUGGCUGCCUAUUUCUAUUCUUGAAUGAGAGAGAAAGACUCUUAUGUUUUCAACCACUGUAUUCAUAUCCAAAGGGAAUUCCUGUUAAACUUUCCAAAGAAAUACAUAGAGUCAAUAUAAAAGGAACUAACUCUUCUACCCAGAGAAAAUACUGCCUCAAACCAGGACCAGAGGAGAGGCAAGCAGUACCUCAUUGUGAGGCUGGCAUGACUUCAGAAGUGUAAUAGACCACAUCUGUUAUGAUCAGCUCUGGAGUAUUCAUGCCUCCAUGGUUGUACCUAAUUGUGGCAGAGUAAUGGAGACAGAGAAAGAGGUCUUCCCUGUCCCUUUAGCCCAGCAUAAUUCUUUGCAAAUCCUUUAUGAGGAUCUGGUAGCCUGACCCUAGAGUCCUUUGAAUAUCCUUUUGCAUGGCUGGUUUUCUUCAGGCCAACUUCUCUGCCACUCUUACUAAAAACAUAUCCAUUUACCUAUAGACAACUAUCUUCCUAAAGUACACAGAGAAUGAAUUAUAAAUUAUAUAUAUAUACUUACACUAUUUGAAGUUGGUUAACUUGUUGCCAAGAGUCAGUUCAAUAUGUAGCUCUUGACUGUUAUUAAGCCUGUUUGUGGAGAGG
RNAcentral lists this long non-coding RNA (4610 nucleotides) under Equus caballus (horse). Its description in RNAcentral is "lncRNA (ENSECAG00000052153.1)". The record is from RNAcentral. Lineage: Eukaryota; Metazoa; Chordata; Mammalia; Perissodactyla; Equidae.